Molecule: long non-coding RNA, 1108 nt
Filed under: Bemisia tabaci
Lineage: Eukaryota; Metazoa; Arthropoda; Insecta; Hemiptera; Aleyrodidae
Description: lncRNA ENSSWEETPG001003
Source: RNAcentral
AAAUGUAAGAAAAUUCCAAAGUACUAUGUCAAGGUUUUUUUUAGGGGUUAAAGAGACGGUGGAUAUCGUGCACGACGUCAUGUCCAGGCAGUUAUUCCGGUAUGGACAUCUGCAAAGAAUGUCGGAGGAGAGGUUGCCCAAACAAGUUUUGGAUUGGGUACCACCUGGGAAGAGGCGACGGGGACGUCCCGUAAAGGGUUGGCGGCAGGGCGUUGACGAAGAGAUGUUGCGGUGUUAGUUGCCCGAUAACCUCUGGGAAGACAGGCAUAUGUGGCGUUUGGGUGUCGUAGAACGCCAGAGUGCGUUGUAAAGCGACUUUAUAUAUAUAUAAGAUGUAGAGGGUGACUAUCCUAGCAAACGGCUGGGAGAGCCAACCUCUAUACUAAAAAUCGGGGGACGUGAAAUGAAAUGAAGAAGAAUGAAAUGGUGAUGAACAAACUAUAAUGAAUGACUAAAAUGUGAACAAGAACAAAAUGACAAUGGUAUGAUAGGAACCUCUCUCUACAUGGGUGGAUACAAGGGGGAUGAUAUGCGCUCUCAGUGUAACACGCCUAUGCUGGGGUAAAUACGCGGCAACGCUCACGAUACACUACAACUAACAUGGAAAUACACAAGGGACGGGAACACGGCUACGCUCAUGAGUCCCGACUAGACUAAACACUAAAUGACCUAAAGACCUAAGAACUUACAUGGAGGGUGAAAAGAAUGAAAUGAAUGAAAAAGAAUGAAUGCAAUGAAUGUGAUCAGAAGACGGCGAGCUUGGCCGUGCAACGCGUUUUAUAUCCGCGGGAACCGCGGCUCGGCAAGCUCCGACAACUUUCGGGCGUCUCCCCGCUUUGGCCGUGGCCACGGACCGAAGUGGGGACAGCUCCGCGGGUCUUGCCGCGGUCUCUGCUGACGUCACCGAUUCUACUAGGGGAGCGGCGAGCGUACCCCACGUUUGCGGUCCCGAACACGGAGUAUACACGCUAGACAGCAGUGUCGAGCGUGGAUACUACAAAGAGACGUUUGAAUUAAAAAUAAAAUAAUAUCCAUUAAUAUUAUGGGUUGUUUGCAAGGUUAUCAGUCACCAUCGCUAAAUCCAGAUGUACGUUUCACACACUUUGCA